RNAcentral lists this long non-coding RNA (2408 nucleotides) under Salvia miltiorrhiza (redroot sage). Its description in RNAcentral is "long non-coding RNA (SMIL_LNC007792)". The record is from RNAcentral. Lineage: Eukaryota; Viridiplantae; Streptophyta; Magnoliopsida; Lamiales; Lamiaceae.
AGUUUUGGUCAAAAACGGCGUCGGAAGCAGCCUCGGCAUAUCUUCGCCCCACGAUUCUCCACCUUUCCGGUCCACUGACGGCGAAGCCAUACAGCUCAGGUCGUCUCGCCGCCUAAUUCAGUACCGGAAAAUCAAUAACUCCGAAAAAAAGAGGGAGAAUUAUCGCACUUACACUUGCAAGUAAUAAAUAAUUCAAUUGAAGACGAGGCAAUUCUGGAAGGUUCUGAUGAUGGAUAAAUCCAUUUAAGAGAGAGAGGAAUUUGAACAAGGAGAGACGAAGUUUCGGAAGACAGGUGAAAGUGAAGAAGGUUCUGCGCAGGAACAGAAAUUGGAGGCUGCUGCUGCUGGUGGUCUACACAAGCACACUGCAGGUUUUUAAAGGCGCUUUUGUAUUUAAAACUUAUCUAUCACUAUGUAACAGUAACACCAUUUACGUGGAUUUCAAUAAUCUGCAAUUUCAAUAUUCAACAACGGAUCGGUGGAGAAUUUCGUGGGCUGGUUUUUUAUUUUUAUAGUUUUGGUCGUAAACUGCAGCUUUUCCAAAAAUUUCAUCAAGAUUGUGUAAGGUUUCACACUAGCAAAAUAUAUUCGCCAACCUCUUUUCUUUCUUUUUUAAGUCGAUUUGGUGAAUUAGGGGAAUCAGAUCUACGGUCCAUNCCUGGGGUGUACCGUACACUCACGGUUGAACCCGUACCCAAAUUCUGAUCCGCAUCUUAAUUCAAAUCGUGUAAAUGUACACUAUUCGAUUAUACAAAUGCACUGUAUGUAAUAGACACUAUUACUGUUAUACAAAUGACACUGCGUAUAAAUGACAUAAUAACAUUGUAAAUGACAUUAUGUAUAAUUGACACUAUUCAGAAAUAUAAAUGACACUUUCUGUAAUUAAUUGACACUAUAAGAUUGUAAAUGACAUUAUAGUAUUUUAAAUAACACUAUAAUAUUUUAAAAUGUUACAGUGUCAUAUAUAUAAUUGAAUAAUAUCAUAAAUAGUGUUAUUUGUAUAAUUGGAUAAUAUUAUUUACACGGUUUGGAUCGAAAUGCAAGUUUGGAUUAGCAUGAUGAGUGUAAAGGAGAUUUUGUGUUCCAUUUAAAUAAGACGUAGUCGUAGAUACAUGUAAAUAUUUUGAAUAUCCUCCAAAAAAGUAGUAAAUAUUUUCAAAAUUAAGAAAAAGUCGGGAAAUUUCCCGAAUAGUGUUGCAUUGCAUUUGCACAUGCUAUUGAAAACACAAUCCAAAUCCAAAUCCUAUUUUUGUCAAGAGUCAAAGUGUACACGUUAGUCCCUAGCGUCUCCCGGGAGGCGAAGCUCCAAAUCCAUGUGAUGCUCCGCCGACGUAGCUUCAGUUUCCCUCCCCUUUCGCGUCAUUUCUUGGCAGAAUCUGGUCAUCGGUAGAAGCUCCAGAGGCUUCACAUUUUCCGUCAUGUAUAAUUUACAAGCACGUGCACGCGCAUGUUCCUCGCUUCCGGCGUAGUUGGACAUCAAAGCGUAAAUGUUGCUACAUAGAUUCUUCAUGUGCCUCAACUCUUUAUUGAGCUGCACGUUUUGCUGCCGCAGCCGCUCGUUCUCGUCAAUUAGCUCCGCCGGGCUACCCACUGCCUGAUCCUCCGACUUCGCCGCCAUUCUCCUACGCUGAAUGUCUCGCAACAGAUGCGUCUCGCCUCUACGGAAACACUCGUUCGAGAACUCCCACCGAUCUGGCACAACCUUCCUAAAUCCCUAAAACUCAACCUCAAAUUAAACAUCUGCAGAAUUAAAUGGAAAUAUACCCCAGUGCUUGAAGCUUACGUAAGUGUUGAGCUGGCGAACGAAGCUGGAGAAAUUGUUGUGCUUAAAGUACUUUGGGAGCAAAUCUCUGGCGAACUCCGCCGGAUUCCACACGAUGAAAGCGGAAAAAAUCCGUCCACGUUCCAGGAGAUGAUGUCGUCCACGGCGCGGUCGUCGACGAUCUGGUAAGUUUGGUCAAAACGGCGUCGGAAGCAGCCUCGGCAUAUCUUCGCCCCACGAUUCUCCACCUUUCCGGUCCACUGACGGCGAAGCCAUACAGCUCAGGUCGUCUCGCCGCCUAAUUCAGUACCGGAAAAUCAAUAACUCCGAAAAAAAGAGGGAGAAUUAUCGCACUUACACUUGCAAGUAAUAAAUAAUUCAAUUGAAGACGAGGCAAUUCUGGAAGGUUCUGAUGAUGGAUAAAUCCAUUUAAGAGAGAGAGGAAUUUGAACAAGGAGAGACGAAGUUUCGGAAGACAGGUGAAAGUGAAGAAGGUUCUGCGCAGGAACAGAAAUUGGAGGCUGCUGCUGCUGGUGGUCUACACAAGCACACUGCAGGUUUUUAAAGGCGCUUUUGUAUUUAAAACUUAUCUAUCACUAUGUAACAGUAACACCAUUUACGUGGAUUUCAAUAAUCUGCAAAUUUC